GGGGAAUCUUGCACAAUGGGGGAAACCCUGAUGCAGCGACGCCGCGUGAGCGAUGAAGCCCUUCGGGGUGUAAAGCUCUUUCGACAGGAACGAUUAUGACGGUACCUGGAGAAGAAGCUGCGGCUAACUACGUGCCAGCAGCCGCGGUAAUACGUAGGCAGCAAGCGUUGUUCGGAAUUACUGGGCGUAAAGAGUGUGUAGGCGGUUUCGUAAGUUCGGUGUGAAAUCUCCCGGCUUAACUGGGAGGGUGCGCCGAAUACUGCGGAGCUUGAGUGUCGGAGAGGAAAGCGGAAUUCCUGGUGUAGCGGUGAAAUGCGUAGAUAUCAGGAGGAACACCGGCGGUGUAGACGGCUUUCUGGACGACCACUGACGCUGAGACACGAAAGCGUGGGGAGCAAAC
RNAcentral lists this ribosomal RNA (400 nucleotides) under uncultured bacterium. RNAcentral's name for it is "bacterial SSU rRNA". It matches the Rfam family "Bacterial small subunit ribosomal RNA", at positions 356 to 773 of the family's 1533-position model. The record is from RNAcentral.